GUUUACAAAUAUCAAUCGAAACGCGCUGCUAUUUUUCAUAAAUGAAAAGUUUAUUUGUAAAAUUUAGUUCUUUACUUGGAGGCAUAAUCUUGGUUUUAGGGUAAUAAGGGUAGUGAAAAUUUGCCGGAACAUCCGAAAUCGGCAUCACCUGCUAAUUCACGGGCAGUAAUGUCAGAAGCGCCCAUGGAUCCUGGUUCACUAAAUGGGGUGAAAAAGGGCCUCGAUUCUAGUACUUUGGAUGAUAAUGAGGAAGCAAAACUACAGGAAUCACCAGUGUACGGUUCACCAAAAGAAGAAGAGAAGGGGCACAUAAAAUCCUCG
Molecule: long non-coding RNA, 321 nt
Organism: Mya arenaria
Lineage: Eukaryota; Metazoa; Mollusca; Bivalvia; Myida; Myidae
Exons: 4
Source: RefSeq, a predicted model, not a curated record